GCGAGUCUCCAGGUGGCUGUGGGGUAUUUGCUUACAACGGCUACCGCUGGUUUCCCUGAAAACUGUUUAUUUUUCCAGGCCUCAGGUUAUUACAUCACCCCGCGGUUUCUGGGCAGGCCAAGAGCGCUGGUUUGGGGGGUGGGGGAUCCAGCCAGGAGAUGCUAUUGCUUCUGUGACCCCAGGUCCCAGUUCUAGGAGCAGCCACCCUGGCAGGAACUUCCAGGUAAGGGAAGAGUAUCCAAAAGGUGACCAAGGGGCCCAAAGUGCCCUAGGAGAGCACUGUUCUGACCUGGCAGGUCAGGACAGGAUGCUGAAAACAGCUUACUGGUGACUCGGAUGGUGACUGAGGCAAACACUGUCACAAUUAAGGAGGGCAGGGGUCAUGGUCACAACAGACGUAUGAGAAAUGCAUUUCUGCCUUGUGUCCCCGCUGGUGGCUUGUCUCCCAGGAGCAGAGUUACCAGCAGCUGUUGCAUCUGCAGAUGGACAGAAGGAAGGUCUGCCAGGCAAGCAGGCCUCGCACAACGCCGGGCACACAGCGCUACAAGGACUUGUAAGAGCUGACUCAUUUAGAAGGAUGAUGCUGCCGGCCUGUCUUACUCAGCCACGGCUCCUUGGUCUUGGCAGUUUGCAAGGUGCAACAGGAUGGAGAGUGACAACUCCUUGGGCCUUGACCACAGGAGCUACGUGGGGCUUAGGGCUGAAGAAGUGGUUCGGAUGUGGCCCCAAGGCCUGUCCACCCACAGGCCGAAAUCCCUGCCUCCCUCCAGCUUGCUGGGCCACACUUGGAACUGAACUCAUUCAGCCAAGGAACAUAUCUUCAGUGGCCAGACAAGCUUGGAGCCAUCCCCUAGACUUCGGGAGCCUCACAAAGGUAACAGGCAGAAGAAUCAAGAACUUGCCACUGGACCAUGCUCAUCCCCGGCAGCCUCCUCCAAGGGUCUCUCCUUAGAGGCUCUAAGCCUGGGGGCCACUGGCCAGGGCAUUUGGAGGAGCCACCCGCCAUCCCUCCCCUGCUUCCCAGUAUCCCAGCAUCUAGAAGCCUGUGCUCCUCUGGGAGGCUUCCCCUCCAUGACGAUGCCUUCGACAGGGAGAGGCUAAGACCAUCAGAGUGUGAGCUCCACGAACUGAGGGCCCUUACAUUUCGCCCGCCACUGGGUCCUCAGGGACUGUAAUAAAGCUGGCACUGAAGUCUCAGUGAGUAUUUGUUGAAUGAAAGAACAAAACAGCCAAGUAUAAAACACCAGUGGUCACUAACAACACUGGGGGACUCGUUAGAAUCCACGGCUAGAGGGCUUUUCCAGAUCACAAACCCCGUUUCCUCUCCACUCCUUGGAAAUCAGGUAUCCUCCAUUCAUAAACUUUCUUUUGGAGACCACAGAAUAGGGGCUGAGAUGCAGGGCGGGCAGUUGAGUAGAUGGAGUUACUCCCUGCUGGGGGAGUAAUGAGCAGUGGGUAGUGGGAGAUGAACACUCGUGCACACCCCUUCUGCAACUGAUCUCUUUGAAGCUGAUAUACCGACCCAGGCUGGGUCAGGGUGGCUCGGACAAUAGACAGCAGCAGCAACCUGCAUGCAGAGGGGAAGAGAGCUGCAUCUCAUGGGCCUGGAGCUACUUGGGUGCAGUUUGUAGCAGGCAUGCAUCAGAAUGAAUGGUUCUCCACAGGGAAAUCCAAUGUGAGCCGAGGUCAACACAUAGAGGUCAUCAGUUGCCCAUCUCCAUUCAAAUCCAGCCCAGGCUGGAAGGUAAUCAGACUUAAGCCAUCUGAUGGCAAGGCUGACAGAUCACCUAUGGAUCUGGCCGCCUUCUCUGGGCUGAGAGAAGAGAAAAAAGAGGUGGCUGGGAAGAGGUGAAAGACACGUGAACAGGGUGACAUUCUGUGUAUAGGAUGCUCUGAGACGUCUGGCUCUGCACGCCUCAACCAGGUUCGAGGCAAUGCAAGAAAAUCCCUUCAGGUGUACUUAACCCCCAUGAGGGCGGAGGCUAGAGACCACACAAGCCCCUUCAUCUGGGAGACCUACCAUCCAUCACCCCUGCCCUAAGCACAUCCCUCAGCCCUGAGGGGAAGUGCUGCUAGCUCCACCAUUUGAGUGACAAAGGUCUCCAAGCUGGCAUCAACUUGUAGACCAAACACCAUGAGAGAUCCUCAAAACUGAGACCCAGAGAUGGACUCUGAAAAAAUAAUUAUGACUCAUUCUUCACUUGGAACACAUACUAUGGAGCAGUCAGUGGAGGGGCAGUGAGGUGGGGAGGGGGCAAUAAAAGAAGUCUCUACGAGUUGAAUUUUGGAAGUUCCGUUUCUCUCCAAGACUGGCUUGCCAAAUACAGGAGCAUGUGAAGAAAAGAGAGCAGUUUUCUACAUGUUUUUAUUCUUCUCUCACUUUCCUUACACUGCUCACUCCCAGAGCUCUUAGAAAUAAGAAAAGAGCAAACUGCAGAAAACUCCCAAUGACCCUAAAUUUUCAUUGGCCAUAUAUCCUAGGCGCUCCAGAGAAAAAGUUCCCAGAAACUGCCAGAAAUCAUUGUCCAAGUCCUCUCCUACUACUCUUCCAUUCUUCACCUGCGCCACCAACACCCCGCUGGAGGCCUAGAACAUCCUUACUGCACCUCAUAAGCAAUGAAGCCUAGGACCAGUCCCUGACUCUGUGUUAGGUUAUCCUGGAAACUCCCUCAAAUCGCCCACAUUUGUUAGCAUCUGAACCCCCAAAAGAGGCACCCCAGGAAAGUCCACGAGCCUUGGUGGGCCAGGAAAAGCUGCUCAGGGUAAAAUCACCACCUCUAAAUCACAUUUUGCUUCCCAGUCACUUUUCUACUUCAAUGGAAACCCCAAAUCCUUCCUCUCAACUUCUGCAGCUUUCAACUGUUUUAGCAGCAGAUGGUCAGAACUCAGAGGUUGCUGAGGGGUCCUCUCCUCUCUUCUGAUAUUCCUCUGUAGCAUCAAUAAAACACAUGUGGAUGCACGUGUGCCCCCUGCCCCCCCAAAAUGCACACAUACCCCUUCCAUCUCUCUCAGGGGGCGAGGACCAUCAGAGAAGGGACGGCUGCAGGAUGGGAGUGCCCCAGAUCAAUGGAUAUUUGAAACUCAAACACAUGGCCCGGGACCUACCCCGCAUGUGUUAAUUACCACACAUGUGCCCAUAAAGGAGUCCGGGGAAACACAAGGGGCCCAAAGAACAGAGCACAGUGAAGACAUUCCAGGGGAUUAAGUAAACAGUCUGAAGUUCUGACCCUCCUCCCCUCCUGCAGCACGUGCAUCUGGGUAAGAUAACCGGG
This is a long non-coding RNA of Odocoileus virginianus texanus, 3272 nucleotides long. RefSeq lists it as uncharacterized. The record is from RefSeq and is a predicted model, not a curated record. Lineage: Eukaryota; Metazoa; Chordata; Mammalia; Artiodactyla; Cervidae.